This 968-nucleotide long non-coding RNA is filed under the name Olea europaea subsp. europaea. The record is from RNAcentral. Lineage: Eukaryota; Viridiplantae; Streptophyta; Magnoliopsida; Lamiales; Oleaceae.
GUUGGAUGGUUCCAACUACGCUCUAUGGUCCCAGGUUGUCGAGAUAUACAUCUCCGGCAAAGACAAACUGGGUUUUAUCAACGGUGAUUUUCCUCAACCCUCUCUAACUGAUCCCUCUUUUCGAAAGUGGCGCACCAAAGAUGCCAUCGUCAAAGGUUGGCUGAUAAACUCCAUGGAUCCAACACUCAUUGGUAAUUUCAUUAGAUUUCCUACUGCCAAAUCAGUUUGGGAUGCCAUUGUUACUACAUUUUUUGAUGACAAUCCUUCGAUGACAAGUGUCUCGACUGAAACAAGGCAAUGACUCCCUUGAGAAAUACCACUCCGAACUGCAAGGACUUUGGCGAGAAAUUGACUUCUGUCGCCCCAAUCCAAUAAUAUGUGCUACUGACAUCAACAAAUAUAACUCUCUGGUCCAAGAAGAACGAGUAUACAAAUUAUUGGAUGGAGUUGAUGACUGACUGGAUAGUGUGAGAGGUGAUGUUCUCCAGAUGAAACUAUUUCCAACCAUUGAACAAGCAUAUGCACAGGUUCGCCAAAAAGCACUCCGACAGGCUGUCAUGACCACCGACCCUGCCACUAUUUCUGGUGCGGUUCUGGUCACAAAAAGGUUAUAGCUGGGUUCUGGUGUUCCUACCUUUACUGGCACAUCAUCUCAAGGAACAGGAAAAUUGACCGUUGGUUCCAAAAUUCGCAGCACUAUUGAAGGGGAAAAAUGUUCUUACUGUGGUAAUCAAAAGUACACCCGUGAUAAUUGCUUCAAACUCCAUGGAUACCCCGACUAGUGGCAUGAAUUGUAGGCUAAGAAGAAACGACCAGGUGCAGUUGUAAGCACAGGGAAGACAGCUGUGGUGACAAUUCACUCUCCACUAUCUUUAAUUCCCUAAGCUGAAUUGUCAACAGAUGGAGGUCCUAACUCUGACUUAGGUACAUUUGGCUCUUCAUUUAUUUCCUCUUUUCAGGAAGAUAAU